This 74-nucleotide transfer RNA is filed under the name Candidatus Woesearchaeota archaeon CG_4_10_14_0_2_um_filter_33_10. RNAcentral's name for it is "tRNA-Phe". It matches the Rfam family "tRNA". From Rfam's summary of the family: Transfer RNA (tRNA) molecules are approximately 80 nucleotides in length. Their secondary structure includes four short double-helical elements and three loops (D, anti-codon, and T loops). The record is from RNAcentral. RNAcentral also lists the same sequence under 3 other names. Lineage: Archaea; Nanobdellati; Candidatus Woesearchaeota.
GGGGCGGUAGCUCAGCCUGGGAGAGCACAUGACUGAAGAUCAUGGUGUCCGGGAUUCAAAUUCCCGUCGCCCCA